This 25-nucleotide non-coding RNA is filed under the name Cricetulus griseus (Chinese hamster). Lineage: Eukaryota; Metazoa; Chordata; Mammalia; Rodentia; Cricetidae. The record is from RNAcentral.
UUGAAGCAACUCUAGGUGAAAGAUG